UACGUUAUUUAUCUCUUCUGAAUUCAAAUAUUCUAAUCGCAAAAGUUUCAAAACUUCAUCAGCACGGUUAACGUUAUUAUUCAAGAGACCUGCGGCCAUCGUUUGCCCUCGGAUUUCGACGGCUCCGUGAAUGGACGUGGUACCUAAGUCCGCGUCAAUUCCGGUGUCUGAGUUAAUUAUGUAUUGUGUGUGUAAUGAGGGCAAAGGACCAGAAACUGUUGGGUCAACAGUAUCACAGGGGGGCUCCGCGCCUCGGCCGGGUCAUCCGUCCUAUGUAUCCAAUGUGUGUGUGUCAAGAACAAGGGAAGGAAAAGACAUGUCUCCGCAAAAUUUUUUCGUACCUAAGUCGAAAUUCACUUCGGAGCUGAGAGAGUUGUAUUCAAGAAGUUCUACCGAGAGGAUCAAAAUAUUAUAUUCCUACUCGGUUGUAUUAAAUAACACAUUUCCACAAAAAAAAAUUUUCAUUGCCAGGGAUCUGACUAUGUAUACUAUAUGUUUUUUGGGUCGCUGAAACCGCAUCCAUAGUCGAAAUUUUUCUGUCAGAUUCGGUUCUUUUCCUAACCUCAAAAAACAGGCCAAAGACCAUGAAAUUCAGGCUCAAAAUCAUAUAAUUCGAUAAAAACCCAAACAAAAUCCCAUAAUCAUAUAUUUCAUCAAUUUCAUAAUCAUAUAAUCUCAAAACUCUAUAACCUCAAACCUCAUAACCUCAAAAAUCCCAUAACCUUAUGAUCCUAAAACCCCUAAACCAAGUAAAAAAAAGACUUACACGCACUGAAGCAGGGUAAAUCAAUACGUUUGAAACAGAUUUGUCCUUCAAUCUCACUACCUCUCAACUUCAAAACCACGUAAUCCUAAAACCUCAUAACCUCAAAAACCCCAUAACUUUAUGAUUCUGAAACCCCGUAACCCAAUAAAAAAUGACAUUUACGCAUUUAAGCACUGUAAAUUAAUAUGUUCGAAACAGGUGAGCCUUUUAACAUCUUAUACAUUGAAACCUCAUAACCAAAUAAUAAACCACGUUCUUUCGCCACAAAACCUACAUUUUGCCGAACCUAGGAACAACGACGUGGACGUAGCAGGCUUCUAUUCCCUUCGGGGUGCUUUAUUUGCAUGAGGUCCCCUCGCCUCUCACGUUACGGGGUGCUUUAUUUGCGUGAGGUCCUCUCGCCUCGGUUAUGAGGUUUUUAAAGUUAUGAGGCUUGAGGUUAUGGAGGUUUGAGAUUACAUAGUUAUGGAUUUGAUGAAAUAUAUGAUUGCGGGAUUUUGUUUGAGUUUUUAUCGAAUUAUUAGAUUUUUAGCUUGAAUUUCAUGGUCUUUGGCCUGUUUUUUGAAGUUAGGAAAAGAACCGGAUCUGACAGAGAAAUUUCGACUAUGGAUUCGGUUUCAGCGACCCAAAAAACAUAUAGUAUACAUAGUCAGAUCCCUGGCAAUGAAAAUUUUUUUUUGUGGAGCUGUGUAAUCGUAGUAAUCGCGUAGGUGGGUCUUCCCCUUGUUAUUAGUGACAAUGGCGUUUCCGGCGAACACGCCUCACGGUGUAUCAAGUGUAGGAAUGUAUCCUUGUUGUAUUUCAGGGUUUGCAACGUUAACGUGAAAUGGAACAACUGACCUUGGUUUGACAUUGAUUCGAUUCGUUCCUGCAAAAGGAAAUCUAUUCCAAGAAUUCCGGGAUGAAGAAAAACAAAACGAUCUGGGACUACAUUCAAUGGGACGUCCCAGCAAAGAAAUCAUGUUUUACAGCCUCUCUAUCGGGGGAAUUCCUAAUGGGAUGGAAACCUAUCCAACAGCGGAAACCUAUCCCACCGCUGCCACCAAUUUUAUAUGUCACGUCCUCGGGCCCUCGGGAAUGAAAACGCGCUGCUCUCCUUAUAGUUUUGGGCUUACCUGCAUUCACCGGCAAUAACCCGAGAAGAUUGAGAACACCCGCCGCUUGUUGAAUAGAUAAAUGAUGGAAAAAGGGGUAUAUAUAUAUUUUGAGUAGAGAGAUUAUUCUAGGUGGCUUAAUAUUAAUCGGGGACCCCUCGCUGAUGGGGAUUGUAACGAAAGUAUAGUAUAUCGCAAAUAAUCUUAGUGUGUAGCGCUGUGUAUCAGUAUUCUAUUUUAUCUAUAAUAUUUUCGGCGGUUUUUACGCCUUCAUGUUCUCGCUCGACAGUUAGGUAGAUUAGUUUGCUCUGAACGUGACAAUAUACAAGUCCAAGUAUUUUGUUAGUGUCGAUUGAUAUGUUACAUAGAUCGUAAUUGACUUCAAAAUAAGCGGUAAAACAGUCGCGACAGUUUUCUAUUGGUAUCUUAAAGAUGAUGGGUUUGUCGCAAAAUAUACAGUUGCAAAAUUUAACAUCUCCUUCAGUGAAGGCAUGGAAUGUGUUAAAACUUAAGUUCUCGUUUGUCGCUGCAUCUUUUGUGGUAUGGCAAAGCGUACAGCAAAUAACUGAGUUAUUGGAAGUGCAAUAAGCUGAUGAAAUUAUGCACUUGGCAAGGUGUGGAUUUGGAAAAUCUCUCAUUAUUGGACCUAACCAUGUUUUAGGUGGCCUGAGUAAAUACAUUUUGAUGGCGUUCCUGCAAUGAUUUAAUUGCUGUAUUUUUGCCCGCGAGUGGCAUUUAUUAUUCAGCAUCUUCGAGUUUGGUAAUUAAUUUUACGUUACGUGUUGUCUUCGCAUUAAAAAUUACGACUUCUUUCAAGCCGUGGCAAUAUAAUAAUUCGAAUAUGUUGUGAAUAUCGACGUUGGUUUUACGCAGGUUACUAAUGGUUAAAUAAUACGCGGGGAGGCAAUCGCUACAGCGUAAUACUGAUUCGAAGAAUGCAAGAGAUAUAUUACAUAUUAAACAGCGUAAUGGUAUUAUCUGUCCUUCAACAAAGCCAUGAAAUACGCUUAACUUUAAUUUUUGCUGUAGUGAUUCUCUCAUGUUUAUAUAGCAUUGCAUACAACUGGCAAAAGUGUUUCCGAUGUUAUGAUGUGCGGCGGUUAACAUGCAUUUAGCGUUGUAUAAAUUUAGGAAGUUAUGUAAUAUCGGAUAUACUCGGGCUUGCGGUGGUUGUUGUCGGCACAUUCUGUUUAACUUCCGAGUGCCUACGGGUGACCGUAUUGAUUACGUUAUUGAAAUACUGUUUGAAAUCCCAUAUCUUUACGAGAUUCAUUAACUUUAAGUGAUUGCAGUCAAAUAAGAGAUGCAGUACGCGGGAAAUAUCGUGCCCGCGUGCUCUCAAUGUGCGCAUUAAUUUUAUAUAUACGUUCGGACACGUGUCGCAGAAAAUAGCACGUCUCAUUUCUAAUAAUUCGUCUCGACAUAGUUGACAUCUAAUACCGGGCAUAUGUCCGUCUAAUAGACCGUGAAAGUUACGCGGUCUUAAAUAUGCAGGAAAUUUGGCUCUAACAUAACAUUUAACACAAAUGAUUUAAGGAUCGUUAGGAAUAGAGUAUUACGUCCUGGAAAAGAACGCAACGGCCGCACGCGUAAGCGAGUGCCCCAAACUUAGGUCAAGGUACCGAAACCCUUUACCUGGGAUGGGACCGCGAGCGGAAUAAUUGGGGAAAAGGAUAGUGAACGCGCGAUGGUAUGAAUAUUAAAUAAAAUAGGAAAAUUAAAGUGACAAUUUCGAUAUUUAUUCAAUGACUACGGCUGACAUUUCAGUAUUAUACGAGUGGUGAGGUUACCAAAUAAAAUAAUGUACGGCGCGGUUACAAUAUAGGACAACAAACGGUGAGGUUACAAUAUAGAAUAACAAACGGCGAGGUUACAAUAUAGAACAAACAGCGAGGUUACAUUAUACAAUACGGUGUGUGUGUGUGUGUGUGUGUGUGGCAGAUAGUUUACCGAUAGUA
Dinoponera quadriceps is the source of this 3818-nucleotide long non-coding RNA. RefSeq lists it as uncharacterized. Lineage: Eukaryota; Metazoa; Arthropoda; Insecta; Hymenoptera; Formicidae. The transcript has 3 exons. The record is from RefSeq and is a predicted model, not a curated record.